ACUCGUAUUUUAUAUCACUUAUUUCCCUUUACACAAAUUCAGGAGGUCGCGGGCUGAUGGCUCUCAAAUUCCUUUGCGCGUCAUGACGUGAUGCAAAGUCAUAAAAGGCGUCACAUGGUCACAUGACUUCCAUAUAUCUAAAACCGCAUAAUUCGAACUCAAUGGAAAACUUCUGUCUUAACAGACACAUGAAUAUCAAUCAACCGAGACGAAAGCUCUAAAAACCCUUAUCUAGUGAAGAAGUAUGACUGAAGAUAUGUGGCAUUGACUGUACUUGCUGAAUGGAAGUCACCAAGUAAAAUUGUUGCCCGAACAGGGGCAGGAAAGGGGAAAGGAGAUGUUAUUGUUGUAACUAAAUCUGGAGGCAAGGGCAGCUGUACUGUUGGUUUCCGUGGCUACUUUCUACAAAUAGGUCCAUUGCAAGAAUCAGCUGUGUGGAUUGAUGAAUCACAGACUGUGAGAGCCAAUCUAGACCAUGGACGAAUAGCCACUGCUGCUCCACUGAAAGAGGAGGAAGAUCCUCUUGGAAUUUCAGAUGAGGGAGACAAUUUUGAGGAUUUUGAAAGACGGCUUGACAUAUAUGAAGAGGAAAGCUUCACAACGUUCUGAGGGUCCAUCACAGUUGUACGAUCUAACCUCACAGCCAUUUUGGAUUGUCUUGAUAGUCUCUGUCACCUGCACUCUACAGUGCCUUUCAGACGAAGAACAAAAGUAAAUCAAAACACAGACAACAAUUAAAAUUUUAAAAAUAAUAUAAUUUGAAAUCCAUAAAAAAACCACAAAACAAUUCCUAAUUUCCCAACCCCACAGUUUGAACACAUGCUUCUUCCAAUGUCUCACAAAUAUUCAGUCCUCUUGCCGAUAGUACUGUUCCUCACAAAGUCUCAGCUUGAACAGCACAAUGUUUUCACUUCAUAACAUACACAAAUAUAUCCAUGUGAAAAGUAACACAAAGUUUCCACCUCUUGAAGGUAUAUCCAACUCAGCUCUGGUCAGGAACAUCAGGCGGAUACAAAGAAUAGGAACAAACAGAAGAGAAAAACACAAAACACAAAAGAAAUCCAAAAGAAAAUCCAAAAGAAAAACCUGGAGAGAAAAACAAAACCAAUCUUUAGCCAAAUGUAAGUUCAACUCUUAACUAUUUUAAACCAUAUUCAUAAACUAUACACUAAUAUAUCACACUCAUCAGAAAUUUCCCCAUUCUUCAACAUUAACCACAGGCUCACAAAAAAAUCAUCAAAGAUAUACACUCACCUCAACAGGUUCUAUGUUAUACAAAGACACAAACCCAUCUGGUAACUCCCAAGUCUGGUCAGGACUUGUACAAUACAAUACAAAUCUGUUCAGGAUUUGUACCCAGAAGUACACCUUAAACCUUUGUAAAACAUUUAUAAAAAACCUACUAUUAAACUUUAAAACUCUGCUAUAUGAAAGAGAAGCAGAGUAGAAAAUAAGACUAACAUAAUAAAACUGUCACAAAGAUCUUGUCAUACCUGCGACAUAAUGUUGUUGAUUCUGCACCGCGGCCAGAUGACCCAUUGGGCGUGCUUGACGUGCUUGACGUGCUUGUUGUGCUUGAAGUGCUUGACGUGCAGGACGUGCUUGACGUGCAGGACGUCCUGGACGGCGAGGACGUCCUGGACGCCUGACUGCGGCUACACGACGGUGGACCUCCACCCUCCUCUCACCUUCUCGCUGCUGGGCCGUGGGGCGUCUUUUUGCCUUUGGAUGCAAAUAAUAAAAAAAGGACUUUAUUAACUCAUUCCAUUCAACAAGCUGUUGAUGACGUCAUUUUCGUUUCGUCUCAGCUCUGCCCUUAUAUACCUCUGGGAAGGGGUAAACUGCGAUGCUCCGAUACGGUCGGGGCCAUGUUGUUGAGCUUGAAAGGGAGAGUGCUUCCUCCUCAAGGCGAUUUCGCACUAUGGGGGAGGGGGGCCAGGGAUUUGCUGGGGAGGGGAAGGCUUUUGGAACCCUGUAUGGGGCACCAAGAGGGGAAUUUUCUCUAAUGUUCUCUUUAUAGUUAUACAAAGGAUUUUAUACUUAUAGAAUUCAUUCUGUAGCUAUACAAUGCAUUAUAUACGUAAAAAAGAACGCUAAAAUGUCCUAGCGUUUGUGGGAGCGCGAAUGACUGUGACAGUUUGACAGUUAUAGAAUGCAUUCUAGUGAUUCUAUAGCUAGUGGGAGAAAAACUCGAUAAAAACUAAAGUAUUUCAUUUAUAUUACACUGAAUUUGCUAUCCAAUUCAUUUUAUAUAUACAAUUCCUUUCUGUAACUACAGAAUGCAUUUUAGCCUUUUUUUUUUUGUUUUUUUUUUUUUUUUUAACCGAGUUUUUACCUCUCUAGCCAUAUAAUGCAUUCUAUAAGUAUAGAAUUCAAUGUAUAACUAUAGAAUGGAAUCUAUAAGUACAGAAUGAAAUGUAUAUCUAUAGAAUGCAUUCUAUAAUUAUAGAAUUGAAUGGCAUAAAUAUAAAAUGUAUUGUAUAGCUAUAAAGA
Pomacea canaliculata is the source of this 2493-nucleotide long non-coding RNA. RefSeq lists it as uncharacterized. The record is from RefSeq and is a predicted model, not a curated record. The transcript is spliced from 4 exons. NCBI's taxonomy places the organism in Eukaryota, Metazoa, Mollusca, Gastropoda, Architaenioglossa, Ampullariidae.